This 716-nucleotide ribosomal RNA is filed under the name Salmonella enterica. Its description in RNAcentral is "partial 23S ribosomal RNA". It matches the Rfam family "Bacterial large subunit ribosomal RNA", at positions 1 to 751 of the family's 2925-position model. The record is from RNAcentral. Lineage: Bacteria; Pseudomonadati; Pseudomonadota; Gammaproteobacteria; Enterobacterales; Enterobacteriaceae. RNAcentral also lists the same sequence under 2 other names.
GGGUUGUGAGGUUAAGCGACUAAGCGUACACGGUGGAUGCCCUGGCAGUCAGAGGCGAUGAAGGGCGUGCUAAUCUGCGAUAAGCGCCGGUAAGGUGAUAUGAACCGUUAUAACCGGCGAUACCCGAAUGGGGAAACCCAGUGUGAUUCGUCACACUAUCAUUAACUGAAUCCAUAGGUUAAUGAGGCGAACCGGGGGAACUGAAACAUCUAAGUACCCCGAGGAAAAGAAAUCAACCGAGAUUCCCCCAGUAGCGGCGAGCGAACGGGGAGGAGCCCAGAGCCUGAAUCAGCAUGUGUGUUAGUGGAAGCGUCUGGAAAGGCGCGCGAUACAGGGUGACAGCCCCGUACACAAAAGCGCAUGUGCUGUGAGCUCGAUGAGUAGGGCGGGACACGUGGUAUCCUGUCUGAAUAUGGGGGGACCAUCCUCCAAGGCUAAAUACUCCUGACUGACCGAUAGUGAACCAGUACCGUGAGGGAAAGGCGAAAAGAACCCCGGCGAGGGGAGUGAAAAAGAACCUGAAACCGUGUACGUACAAGCAGUGGGAGCACCCUUUGGGUGUGACUGCGUACCUUUUGUAUAAUGGGUCAGCGACUUAUAUUCUGUAGCAAGGUUAACCGAAUAGGGGAGCCGGAGGGAAACCGAGUCUUAACCGGGCGUUAAGUUGCAGGGUAUAGACCCGAAACCCGGUGAUCUAGCCAUGGGCAGGUUGAAGG